This 164-nucleotide small nuclear RNA is filed under the name Bos grunniens (domestic yak). Its description in RNAcentral is "U1 spliceosomal RNA (ENSBGRG00000013758.1)". It matches the Rfam family "U1 spliceosomal RNA". From Rfam's summary of the family: U1 is a small nuclear RNA (snRNA) component of the spliceosome (involved in pre-mRNA splicing). Its 5' end forms complementary base pairs with the 5' splice junction, thus defining the 5' donor site of an intron. The record is from RNAcentral. Lineage: Eukaryota; Metazoa; Chordata; Mammalia; Artiodactyla; Bovidae.
UUAGCUAACUGGCACGGGAGAUGCCGUGAGCACGAAGCUGGCUUUCCCAGGGCCUGAGGUUUAUCCAUGACAGUUUGGUUGUGUUGACCCCAGUGAGUCCCCAGUUGUGGGAGACUCGGCUGCUCGCUUUGUGGUAGAGGGGACUGCGUGUGCUCUUCGCCCUG